This 497-nucleotide ribosomal RNA is filed under the name uncultured bacterium. RNAcentral describes it as "partial 16S ribosomal RNA". It matches the Rfam family "Bacterial small subunit ribosomal RNA", at positions 28 to 507 of the family's 1533-position model. The record is from RNAcentral.
GACGAACGCUGGCGGCGUGCCUAAUACAUGCAAGUUGAGCGAUGAAGCUUGGUGCUUGCCCCAAUUUGAAGAGCAGCGAACGGGUGAGUAACGCGUGGGGAAUCUGCCUUUGAGCGGGGGACAACAUUUGGAAACGAAUGCUAAUACCGCAUAAUAACUUUAAACAUAAGUUUUAAGUUUGAAAGAUGCAAUUGCAUCACUCAAAGAUGAUCCCGCGUUGUAUUAGCUAGUUGGUGAGGUAAAGGCUCACCAAGGCGAUGAUACAUAGCCGACCUGAGAGGGGGAUCGGCCACAUUGGGACUGAGACACGGCCCAAACUCCUACGGGAGGCAGCAGUAGGGAAUCUUCGGCAAUGGACGAAAGUCUGACCGAGCAACGCCGCGUGAGUGAAGAAGGGUUUCGGAUCGUAAAACUCUGUUGGUAGAGAAGAACGUUGGUGAGAGUGGAAAGCUCAUCAAGUGACGGUAACUACCCAGAAAGGGACGGCUAACUACGUG